AUUCACAUUGGGUUUUGUAUUUUCGCUGCUAUUGCGCCGCCAGUUGUCUUUCAUGGGAAGUCAUUGACGGGAAUCCUUGCAGCAAUCGAUGUCUUCAAUGACCAUGUAUUGGUUGGGAUAUUCUACUUAGUUGGCUUUGGCUUGUUUUGCUUGGAGUCGCUUCUACUUAGUUCAUGCUCAAAGGCUGCAGUAUUUGGCUUUUGCAAGUUGGUUAGGCUGUUAAGAGAAAAUUGCGGAUUUAAAGUGAAAAAUGCUAACUUUGGGAAAAAGCUACAAAUGGAAAUGGGAUUGAGCACACAGCCCUACGCUCAAGCGCAUAUGCGCUCGAGCCCAGUAAGAUCACGCUCGAGCGGACUCUCGCCUACGCCCAAGCAAGCAGCGCCCAAGUGCUGCGCCACAGGAGAAGAACUCCAUGCUCGAGUGCGAUCGAGCGCACUCGUUUGACCUGGCGCGCUUUUUUAGGUUAAAACCCUAGGCAAAGCCCUAUAAAUAGAAUAGACUUUAGAGGAAAUUGUAAGAGGCUGUAGAGUACGAAAUUUCAGAGUAGAGAGAAGAGAGUUUAGGGUCUUCCUACCUUUUGGUGUUCUCAACUUUGGAGUUUUCAAUUUGAAAAAUUCAGUUCAAUGAAUUCCAUCGAUGGUAAAUCAGAGCUUCAAAUGUUAUCAUUCCAAGCUCCCAAGAUUAGACUUCUACGAAGUUUGAGCAUUGAGACUGAAGCAAUACAGGUGUUAGAUUUUACUGUCUUUCCAGAACCAGAAUUUGAGGUACCCAUAUUUUGUGCCAACUUUUUUGCCACCACCAGCAUAAACAUAGUGGUCUUGGUCUACCUACCCAGCUCAUGCGCAGAAACUCCAAACCUCUAAUUGUAGUUAGGAAAGAUGGAUCAUCUCUCUCGUCAAGCAUAGUGAUCCCCUUGCUAUUGCUUCUAUUGUAAGAGAUCACUUCUUCCUAACUAGCAAAAGAUUUCACUUCAUUUUUUUUCCCUCUAGUUGUAUAUAUUACUGAAGAUGUCACCAAGAACAGUUGUGUUGGGUACCCUUAUCCACCAUCAGAAAUUUCGAUAAUACAGGUCUCACUGGUUGUUUGAUUAUAGUUUUAUGGUACUUCAUGCCACUAUCUAAUAAUAAACGAUUUUAUACAUUCAUCUCUAGGGCAACCUAAUGGGUAAAUUUGUACUACUCUUACAUCCUUGCCUUGAAAAGGAUUGAUGCUAAUUUGUACAAAUUUCCUUGUC
Non-coding RNA from Corylus avellana, 1234 nucleotides. NCBI's taxonomy places the organism in Eukaryota, Viridiplantae, Streptophyta, Magnoliopsida, Fagales, Betulaceae. The record is from RefSeq and is a predicted model, not a curated record.